RNAcentral lists this ribosomal RNA (165 nucleotides) under uncultured bacterium. RNAcentral describes it as "partial 16S ribosomal RNA". It matches the Rfam family "Bacterial small subunit ribosomal RNA", at positions 384 to 567 of the family's 1533-position model. The record is from RNAcentral.
UGAUCCAGCAUGCCGCGUGAGUGAUGAAGGCCUUAGGGUUGUAAAGCUCUUUUACCAGGGAUGAUAAUGACAGUACCUGGAGAAUAAGCUCCGGCUAACUCCGUGCCAGCAGCCGCGGUAAUACGGAGGGAGCUAGCGUUGUUCGGAAUUACUGGGCGUAAAGCG